RNAcentral lists this ribosomal RNA (356 nucleotides) under uncultured bacterium. RNAcentral's name for it is "partial 16S ribosomal RNA". It matches the Rfam family "Bacterial small subunit ribosomal RNA", at positions 338 to 691 of the family's 1533-position model. The record is from RNAcentral.
CCUACGGGAGGCAGCAGUGAGGAAUAUUGGUCAAUGGACGCAAGUCUGAACCAGCCAUGCCGCGUGCAGGAAGACGGCUCUAUGAGUUGUAAACUGCUUUUGUACGAGGGUAAACGCAGAUACGCGUAUCGGUCGGAAAGGAACGUACGAAUAAGGAACGGCUAACUCCGUGCCAGCAGCCGCGGUAAUACGGAGGAUUGAAGCGUUAUCCGGAUUGAGUGGGGUUAAAGGGUGCGUAGGCGGUCGGAUAAGUCAGAGGUGCAAUCCAGAGGCUCAACUUCGGAAUUGCCUCGGAUACUGUUCUCCUAGAGAGUAGUUGCGGUAGGCCGCAUGUCUGGUGUAGCGGUGAAAUGCUU